RNAcentral lists this small RNA (973 nucleotides) under Pan troglodytes (chimpanzee). Its description in RNAcentral is "retained intron". The record is from RNAcentral. Lineage: Eukaryota; Metazoa; Chordata; Mammalia; Primates; Hominidae.
UGCUUAAAUGAAAAGGUUGGAUUUAAAGGCUUCCAAAUUGCAGCUGAAAAACAAAAGGAUAUUGUCUCCAUUCAUUAUGAAGGAAGUGAAUAUAAGCUGUCUCAUGGAUCAGUGGUCAUUGCUGCAGUUAUCAGUUGUACCAAUAAUUGCAAUCCAUCUGUCAUGCUUGCUGCAGGUCUUUUGGCUAAAAAGGCUGUUGAAGCUGGUCUGCGUGUUAAACCUUAUAUAAGAACAAGUUUAUCUCCAGGCAGUGGGAUGGUUACACAUUACCUCAGUUCAAGUGGAGUAUUACCAUAUCUCAGUAAGCUUGGAUUUGAAAUCGUUGGCUAUGGAUGUUCAACUUGUGUGGGAAAUACAGCACCCUUAUCAGACGCAGUUUUAAAUGCAGUAAAACAGGGUGAUUUGGUUACCUGUGGAAUUUUAUCUGGAAACAAAAAUUUUGAAGGUCGUCUUUGUGAUUGUGUUCGUGCCAAUUAUCUUGCCUCUCCACCCUUAGUGGUAGCUUAUGCCAUAGCAGGCACAGUGAAUAUAGAUUUCCAGACAGAACCUUUAGGUAUCUUUUCCUUUAUGUAUAUGUAUACCUACACAUACUUUUCCCAAUGGAAGUCGUUAUAUUUUUGAAACGUUUCUUAGACCAUCUAUUCUUUGAAUUAUUUCAGGAAGACGUAUGAUAAUGUAUAGUUAUUAAUUUCUGUGUUUAUGUGAAGAAAAUAAAAUGUGCAGGUAAUUAGUUCUUCCAGCCGCUUAAGCCUGAAGCACCCUGUUGAAUCAUUUACUUGAUUUCCAUGAUAUGUCUUUGAAAAGGUAUGAACAUUUUCAGAGUUAUUUUUUUACUGAGUAUCAUGUUCAAAAAUUUUAACCAGGUACUGACCCCACCGGCAAGAACAUUUACCUGCAUGAUAUUUGGCCUAGUCGAGAAGAAGUUCAUCGAGUAGAGGAAGAACAUGUUAUACUAUCCAUGUUUAAAGCAUUA